GCUGACUAAAUAGCCUUCUUGACUUUAACGAUGCUUCUAUAACCUAUUUCACGGCAAAACAAAAUCAUUACAAAGCCACAAGGACAAGAAAUAGAAUAGGAUUGAGUAUGGAAAAGUUGCUGUCUACCAGGGUUUUCAGGAAGCGUCCGUCCUCACUAUAGUCGCACGUUCCUAACUCCUAAGGUCAGCACGAUAGGGCGCAGAGCACUUAAGACCGGGGGCAGAGUGGUCUCUUCAAAGUUGAACAUGUGACUAUGGGGGGCAGUUUCCCCAGACCGAGCCUAGGAGGACACAGAGAACAGGGAACAUUGGAUAUGACCAUAGAUAGGACCAUCUUCCAGCCCUGAAGCCAUUUACACCUGGAAAUGUUUGUGGUGGGAUGGAAGAGGUAACGAUCGUGAGGAUGAUGCUUCCCAUCUGCGGAACAUUUUACAUUGUCCCAAACACUUUUAUAUACGUUAUUUGACUGUCAUGUCUUUCCUGUGAGAUGGACUCGAUUGGGAAAAUAAACUUCACAGUGUAUAAGGGACUUGCUCAGGGCCACAUGGCUGGUCUGAGCCAGGACUAGAACCCUUGGGCUUCCUGCCUCGGUCCUCUUCCUGCAACCCACACAACGACCUUCCGCAUCAUCCAUCCCACGGACCCCUUCCGCUACUCCAGUCACAUGGCACAUCAUGGUCAAAAGUGCAUGCUUUAGUUUUCAUUGCCGUGCCAAGUUGUGGUCCGCAAAACCCUUCCAGCCUGCUUCCAUGGCUUUCCUUACAAACUGUGGUGCCCAAGGUAUUUGUGCCAAUUUUUUCCAUGAGGGCAGUCUGUCAGAAAAUUUGCUUCCUGAAGCUUCAUAUCCCUGAAACAACAUCUGCCCAAAUCGGCAUGUGGUUUACCACGACUGCCAGCAUCAUUAUAGCCUCUCAGCUAACGAUGCAGGAUUAUACAAGUCUAUGGGGACAGAAGACAGCUGGUGGGAGAGACGCAUUCAAAGCCAACACAGCUGGCUUGCCAACUGACUAGUAAAUCUCGAGCUGUGUGAUUGUGGGCAACUUUAAACUUUUUUAUCUGUUAUAAACGUUGUAUCAAACGAGACGGAGCACAAGAAAGUAUUUUUGCAAACCAUAAAAUAUUAUAUAAAAUUUAGUUACCACUAUUUCAUUUCCUACAUGUGCAUGACCCACUUUGCCAAUUAUCCAUGGAAAACUGGGUCACUGCAGCAUCCCUGAAUUGGCAUGCUUCUUGUUGCCUGACCCUUUUUCCAGAUGGCACUCUCAGGUGACACGGAACAGGGUUCCAGCUUGAACCUACUGUGGGCUUCAGAUAGGACAGCAUGUCUGGGAGGACACCUGCCAGACGCCUAUUUGCAUGAGGAACUGAGACACCACCUGGGGAAAAGCUCACACUAAGAGAAAGAGGAGUCUGGCUUGCGGACCCCGAGGCAGGAAUAAAUCAUGUCUUCACGGCCCAUGGGGAGAGAGGGAGUUUUAGACCCUGUGAUGCCCAAUGCUUAGUUAGAUCUAUCUCUGUGCCCAACUGCUCACGUGAAUCCUAUGAAAAGCAGGGGUCGGGGAUGGAGGGGUUUUUGGGAACAAUGAGAAAUAAAAUGGAAAGCUCUGUUUUCCUAAGAACUCUCUGGGACCCAAGGUACACUGAGGGCCUCUCCCCUUGCCCUCUCCACCCAACACAUUACAACAGAACUCCCUGAGGUCACAAUGGCUCAGUGGCUGGAGGCUGGAAGACCGGGUGGCUCACUAUGUUCAGGAUCAUACAUGGAGUGUGCUCUAGCAUCUCUGGAAAUAUUUAGGGCACUUUGUAGGAAGUUGAGGUCCUGAGUGAGCAGCUGUGAGAAAAGUCAGUGAAUUUGGAUUAUUUGGGUUAAAUACUCCAAAUGCACUUACAGGUUGUAUUACAGGCUGGAUGAGCUUGACUAGAAUAACACUAGUCUCGUUUGCUGGCAUCUCAGAGGUCAAUGUUGUUUCAAAGGAGCAAAUACAGCGAGGUUACUUCAACCACUAUUUCGUGAGCGCCUAUUAUGUGCCUGGUCCUGUCUCGGCCCUGCAGAUACAUAAAGCAGGCAGACAUCACGUCUGCUCCUGAAGACCUUGCAGUCUACUAGGCAGAGUCCUGACUAAUACACCUGUGUUCCACUGACUUCCACGAAGACACGCCGUGGCUCAGACUCACUGAGGCUCCAGUCUGUACGGCGGUGAGCUCUUCACAAUGAUUGUCCCAGAGUCAGACACCUGGCAGAGCAAUUAGGAGUCAUGAUAGAGGUAAUUUAAUCUCAGUAAUUGUGCGGGUUUUCUGUGCACCUCUUUGCCAUUCUAAGACAGCCACAUUGUAUUUAAGGGAUGAGCUGAAGAUCUCAUAUGAUUCAAAAUUCACGUAAUUCGAGAACAAUCCUGACCAAGGAUGAUGACUACUUCUACUUAUCAGCUAAAAUGCAAUGAGCAUUGUUCACAAUUAUUAAGCCCACUACUUUGAAACGACGGUUCUUGACAAAUUGUUACUUUGGGGGGAUUCACAUUACUCCAUAUUUUGUGUAUGCAGAGUGACUGUACUAAUUUCUAAUAGUACACUGCUGCAAAGUCACAUAAAACGUACACAUAGCAUUCCCCAACAGCUCAUUAAGAUUAAUGGCCAUUGUUGUUCUUGGUUUGUGCCUCACGAAAACAUUACUAUUAAGCAAAAAAAAAAACAAACAAAGACGACACUCUCUUGAUCCUUUGAUCUUGGAUUAUAUUUUAUAAGAUAUCUAGGAGUUAUAUAAUGUCAAUAUAAAAAUUUUAUUAUAUAUUUGCUAAAUAACUACUAGUUAGAUUAUAUUCAUGUGAGAUAAUAGAAAAUAUAUAUUGGUCUCUGCCCCUGGUUCCUGCACUGAGCUCCUGAAAUCUUUGUAAUUUCCUAAGCCAUAAGAGUACUAGGAACAUCUUUUGUUCUAAUAUUUGGUCUUUGACUCUCAUUUCUGAUGCAGGGUUUUUGAAACCCUUGGAGUUUCCUGGGGGAUAGCAGUGUCUUUAGUUCUAAUGAGGUGACUCUGGGUAGGAUCCUGGAUGGCUCCCGGAUGACGGUUGGUUGCCAGAAAGACCAAGCCAGGAUUAGAAGCCUGGAAUUUUCAGCCCUGUGCUCCUAUUCUCUUGAGAAGGGAGAAGAGCUGAAAAUGGAGUUAAUGAUUGAUCAUGCCUAUGUGAGGAAGCCUCCAUAAAAAUCCCAGUAGUAAGAGGUUUGGAGAGCUUCCAGGUGGGUGAACACAUCCACAUCGGGAGGGUGAGGCACCCCAACUCCAUGGGGACAGAAUUUCCUGCACUCAAGACCCUCCCAGACCUGCUCUAUGUAUCUUUUCAUCUGGCUGUUCAUCUGUAUCCUUGAUCAUGUCCUUUAAUAAACUGGUAAAUGUAACUAAGAGUUUCCCUGAGUUCUAUGAGCUGCUCUAGCUAACUAAUCAAACUCGAGGAGAGGGCUGUGGGAAUCAUGGACUCAUGGCCCAAUUGGUCAGAUGCACAGGUGACAACCUGGACUUGCGAUUGGCCUCUGGAGCGGAGUGGGAGCCCUCUUGCAGGACUGAGCCCCUACCUGUGGGCUCUGAUGCUCUCUCUGGGUAGACAAUGUCAGAGUUGAGUUUAAUUGUAAGACACCCAGCUGGUGCUGCAGAGAAUUGCUUGGUGGGAAAAAACCCACACAUCUGAGGUCAGAAGUGCUGUGAGUGAGGUAGGAGUGUGAUGGUAAAGGGAAACAGGAGGAAAAGUGAGUUUUUCUAAUACAAUUCAUACAAAGUUAAAACCAGUCUUGUCUGAUAUUUUAAAAUAUCAAAAAAACAUAUAGGUGAGGUAAGAUGUAUGAGGUGGCAAAGAAUAUAGAUUUGGGAGGCCGACUGCAUUUCAUUCUUGUAUUCUUAUUUUAAUUCUGAGCAAGUGGCUUGAAAUAGUAAAAAGUAUCGCAAAUACUGAGGCCAAAACCUCUGAAUUUUACUGCAUCCUGAGGCACUUCUGCCUCUUCCCUUUCUUCCCCGUGGAGGAGAGACCUCAGACCCAGGGCUCCCCCUGCGCUCCAGUUCUCGUCCCCUCCCACCUCCUCGGGAACUUGUACCACUCGGGUAUCUGCUCUUCAUCCCACAUCUUCUACUCUCCCCUCCCCCAGUUCUGGCCAAUUAGCACUUAGACAAGUUCAGAUCUCUCCCAUCUUAAAACAACCACCUAAACAAAAACCUUCCUCAUCUCUACAUCACCUCCCACCUCCUUCCACAACUAUUCCUCAGUCUUCUCCCCCUCACCUGAGAAUCUGGAAACAGAUUUUUACAUUGUGCCUUCUUCCCUGUUUCCUGCACUGUGGUUUCUGCCCCGCUACUCUGCCCAAAGCCCCCAGGGACUUCUGUGUGCUGUAUCCAGUGAACACUUGACACCCAAUGGUCCUUAUUUCGCAUGUGCUCUCUGCAGAUCUGGACAAUGGUGACUGCUGCCCCUUGCUGAAACACUCUUUCCUUGUUUUCUUUACACUUCAUCUUUCUGGUUCUCCUUGAUGCCCAGUCUUUCUCAGUUUCCUCUGCAGAUUCUUCUUCUUGUACCUGGCCCUUAUGUAUCGAGUCUUCCAGGGCUUUUUCUAAGAUGCUCUGCUCUUCUUCCUGAUACUGGCCCACGGUCACUUCAUCCAUUCCUGUAGCAUCAGCCACCACAAACACAGGAUAACUCCCAAAUCUCUCCCUUCACCCACACAUCUCUCCUCUGCCAGAGACGUCUAAGCACCUUCUCACACCUCCUCCUGGGAGCCCCAGAGUACCACAAACACAACAUAAAAAUAAGUCAUCAUUGUCAUCUCCCUAUCCUGCUACCCCCUAAAAAGCCCCAACCCUCCCUCUCUUUCUUCCGAAUUUCUUAUCACCAUCUGUGCAAUUGCCCAAAACAAAAAACUGAAAUCAUCCAGGGACUUUUUUAAGGAUUUGAGUUCAGCUGGGCCUAUGGAACCUCAAAGUACAUGGGCCAAACGAGGCCCUGGCCACUCAAAGACAGUCUUCAAACCCUCAGCUCUCAUUGGGUCCUCCAGGAUGGGGAUGCACUACAAAAAGAUUUUAGGCAGGAUACUGGGGUCAAGAUCAGCCCCACUCCUUCCUCCAGCUGCAGAGACAGGAGAGCCAGAAACGAAGUGAGGUCUCUGUCCUUUUCAACGUUUAAGUCUCUCUCCGCUACAUCCUUCAAAUGGGAGGCAACUGCUGCCACCCUGUGGCAACAUGGAGGCACUGCAGCUCCUAUACGCAGGCCAAGGGUGGGCUAAGCAAAGGCUCCUUAGAUCUGCCCCUUCAAACAGACAUUAUCUUACAAAGGACUCUUUUUCUACUUGAUAUUUGUUAAGAAAAUAGUAUCGGUUCUCUUUAUUUUGAAAUGAAAAAAGCGAGGUCCAAAAGUCAGUAUUAUAAAAAAGAAUUUGGGUAUUUUUAUGUUUGGCAAUAUAGGUUUAAAAUUUUUUCAGACAUUUAUAAAUAUCUACUCAGUGGCUCGAUAUCUGGUGUCACCACAGUGCUAGAUACCUGCUGGCCUAGAAGUGUGGGGAAAAUGAACCCGGGGCACUGGAACGACUAUUUGACCCGAAGCUGUUAACAUUCCGAAAACUAAAGCACAUUUUCUGGUUGGAUUCAUCCAAGGCCAACAUGAGUGCCAGUUGGCAGAGCCUGUUCUGACUCCCAAGAGUCUCUAUCCCAUGGCAAACGGCUCUCUGAACCAACCCCUUGGACAGCUGGUGGCUUUAUUUGUUUCCAGGGAUAAUAUAACAACAGUAGCCAUUUGGCUAUGUCAUAGGGGCCAAUGAGCAACUUUGGGCUCAGGGGAAGAUGGCGCUGCUGAAAUACAGGUGUCUGGAAGCGUAUCUGCACUGUGCUGCUAACUGGCCGGGUAAUCAAAAACAAUACCGGGGAAAGCUACCAAGGACUGAAAUUGUGUUGUCGAUAAUCCACCAAGCGAGAGGAGGGGCCAAGCCUGCAAUUCGGUUACCAACAGCACCCCCUUACUGCACACGAGAGAGCGGGCCAGAAGCCCCACUUGAUACAUGAGAAAACUAAGGCUCAGAGAAGUUGCCAAGAUCAUGCACAGCUAAUAAAUAGUAUGGCCGAGACUCAACCCUGGGUCUCCUUGCCAUCAAAGCAACGUUUCCUCUCUAUAAAUCAAGUUGGUCCCUAUUUGUCUUUACUUUGUGUUUCUGUUUUGCUUUGGGCUAAGAAUUUAUACUUUGAAAGAUGCUCUUAAGUCAUAUUUAAGGUGCCUAUGAAGAAGUAAAAAAUAACCCCCGAUCCUCCCUGGAUGUUUUUGGCAAAUGCUUCCUCCGCAGUGACCGCUUAGAGCAAUCAACAGGCAGGAGGCUGGCCACCAGGUUUCAGGAAUCCUCUGAUAGGCAGGACUUCCAGUCUAGUCGGCCCCCUGCUGGUUUCGUUCCAGAACUGCAAAAAGUCAGUUCUCAAUAGGCAGCUGUACCAAGGGCACAGACCUUGCCCCACGGGGAUCACAGUCAAAGGAAAUAGACGUUUUGCUGAGCACACGUCACUGAGCUCUUGGCAAAAACUUCUAGGUAGAUUUUUUUAAAGUACAGAAUAGAAAUGGAAUAUUUUCCUUGAACUGAAAAGAGUCUCAACAGCUCUGGAUGUCAUAUAGUGCUUACAUACCUAUUGUCUCCAGAUACAUUUACUUUUCCCUGAGAUUAUAUGUUCAUUCUUCAAAUAUGUACUAAGUGCCUACUAUGUGUCUUGGAAUAAAUCAGUAAAUAAAACAGACAUAGCCUCGUGGAGCUUAGAUUCCAGUGGGGAGGCAGACAAUAAGCAAGGAAACAAAUAUUAAACAUAAAUUACAAAAAAUGCUAUGGAGCUUAAAAAAACAAAAGGACACUGUGACAGAGAAUGGGGCUCCUCAGAUAGGGCAGUCAGGGCAGGCCUCUCUGAGGAGGUGAUUUGAAACUGAGACCUGAAGAGGAGGAUACAGCUACCCAGAGUGGGAAGGACAAGCCGUGUGAAAGACAGGAGGUAGGAAGAGACUGGUGUGACCCAGGGUGACUGAAGGACCGAAGGGAGGCCAGGGUGGGUGAGAAAGGAAGCGGGAGGGCAUACAGGGGACAUGAUCCUUCCAGGUCGUGGCAAGAAGUAUUAUUUUUAUCUAGGUGCAAUGGGAAGCCACUGACUGAAUUUUAACCAUGGGAUUGACAUUGAUCUGACUUAUUUAUUUUUAAAUUUUAACUCCGCCUUUCCCACAGAAAACAAUUUGAAGGAAAGCAAGAGUAGAAGCAGGAAGACCAGUGAGCUGACAAUCUUAGAAAUCCAUGCCCGACUCCACGGCAUCUUGGAGAAGGGUGUUUGGAAUGGGACUAAAGAGAAGAGAGGACAGGCAAACGACAGAUGUAUUUUAGAAACAGAAAUGAAAUAAAUUGCUUAUAAUUUUGGUUUGAUCUGUGAUGGAGAAAAUCAAGGAUGACUUCCAGGUUUUUAGCUUGCAUGUAUGGCCAAGUGAUGGCACUGGUCAUUCAGAUAGAAAAGAUUGAUAUAAACAGGUUGAGGAAGGUGGUGGCAGAGAAAUUACGAUUGGCACAUGGUAAUAAAGCAAUCCAUUAAGCCUAUAGAUACACAAGAAAGAAGUUUGGCUUGAAAAUACAAAUAUUGGAGAUAUCAGCCAAGAAAUGGUAUUUGGAGUCAAGACAAUGAAUGAGGUCAUCUAGAGGGAGAAUUGAGAAGAAUAAGAGAAGUGGAUCCAGCACUGAGCCCUGGAGAACUCAAGAAUUAAAGUCUGGACUAGGGGAACAGGAGGAACCUGCAGACAAAACUGUGAAGAAAUGGUUAAAGCAAAAAGGGAAAUGAGGAAAGCCCAAAGUGUGCCAUUUCGGCAUGUCUCGACACCUCGGCCCCAAAACCAAGAAACCAACGAAAAGGGUUUUAAGCAGGGCAUGGUCAAGUGUGCGGAAUGCUGCAGAGGGUGAGUAGGAUGAAGGCAGAAUGUGGUGAAUUUGGCAUGGAAGUUGUUGGCCUUGACAAGAACAGUCCAAAAGGCAUCUCAAAAUUAACAUGCACAAAACCGAACUUGAGAUCUUCCCCUGAAGAUCGUCAGUUUGCUCCUCUUCUAGAAAACUGUUCCUCUCCAGUUCCUCAGGCCAAAACCUUGGUGUCACCCUCAAUUCUCUCUUUCUUUCAGUUCCUACCUCCAACACACCAGCAAAUCCUGUUGGCCCUAACAUCAAAAUAUAUCCACAAUCUGCCCAUGUCUGACCACUUCUCUAGCUAUCAUGCUUGUUCACAUCUCACCUGAAUGAUGACAAUAGCCUCCUAUCUAAUCUCCCUGACUCCAGGCCUCCCUCCCGACAGGAAUGUUUCCAACCCAGCAGUUGGAGGGAUCCUUUUUGAAGCAAGGCUGAACACAUCACUCUGUACAAAGACUCCAACGGCUUCAGACACACAUUCAGAAGAAAAGCCAAAGUCAUUACAGGACCAUACGACUCUAUGAUGCAAUCUGUCUCCACGCACUCAACCUCCUACCCCGCUUCCUGCCAUUACCCCAGUCUCAUCUCCUACUCUCCUGAGUCUUGGGCUUCCCCACACUGGCUCCUUGCCCCACUGUACGGCUUCUGCACUCGCAUUGUCUCUGCCUGGAACCUCUUCAAACAUCACACAGCUCACUCUCUCAGCCCUCAGAUUUUUGCUUACCUUCCCAGUGAGGAGUCCCCUACCCCUAUUUCAGUUCUUUCCUCCAUCCCCCUCCUCUGCUUUACAUUUUUACAGUACUUACAGCCAUUUGACAUAUAUUUUACUUAUCCGUUUAUUUAGAGACUAUGUCUCCUGUGCCCCGCCACUCUUCGAGGUUCAUGUUUAUUUCCUCAGUACCUGAACCAGCACCUGGCAUUCAAGAAAUACUUGUUGACCUGGAAAGUGAGUGGUGGGAACAGUGGACAACAAUGGACCAGGACAGAACGGGAGCCUCCAGCUCAAGGAUUUCAGCAGGAUGCCCUCCCCCACUCCCAAUCCCGAAGAAAAACCCGCUUGUCUCGGGCGGCAUCAGGAGGUCGAGCGGGCAUCAGCGCAGGACUCACCGAGGGGCAGCCGGAG
Equus caballus (horse) is the source of this 9052-nucleotide non-coding RNA. The record is from RefSeq and is a predicted model, not a curated record. Lineage: Eukaryota; Metazoa; Chordata; Mammalia; Perissodactyla; Equidae.